GAUGAACGCUGGCGGCGUGCCUAACACAUGCAAGUCGAGCGAUUCUCUUCGGAGAAGAGCGGCGGACGGGUGAGUAACGCGUGGGUAACUUGCCCUGUACACACGGAUAACAUACCGAAAGGUAUGCUAAUACGAGAUAAUAUACUUUUAUCGCAUGGUAGAAGUAUCAAAGCUCCGGCGGUACAGGAUGGACCCGCGUCUGAUUAGCUAGUUGGUAAGGUAACGGCUUACCAAGGGGACGAUCAGUAGCCGACCUGAGAGGGUGAUCGGCCACAUUGGAACUGAGACACGGUCCAAACUCCUACGGGAGGCAGCAGUGGGGAAUAUUGCACAAUGGGCGAAAGCCUGAUGCAGCAACGCCGCGUGAGCGAUGAAGGCCUUCGGGUCGUAAAGCUCUGUCCUCAAGGAAGAUAAUGACGGUACUUGAGGAGGAAGCCCCGGCUAACUACGUGCCAGCAGCCGCCGUAA
This 468-nucleotide ribosomal RNA is filed under the name uncultured bacterium. RNAcentral describes it as "partial 16S ribosomal RNA". It matches the Rfam family "Bacterial small subunit ribosomal RNA", at positions 28 to 523 of the family's 1533-position model. The record is from RNAcentral.